Non-coding RNA from Canis lupus familiaris (dog), 89 nucleotides. The record is from Rfam. Lineage: Eukaryota; Metazoa; Chordata; Mammalia; Carnivora; Canidae.
GGGGGGAGGCCGGAUCCUGGGCUGUGUCCCGGCGCCCUGUGCUCCGGAGCCUGCGCUGUUGGAUUCGCGCUCCCGGGCCGCAGGCCCCU